Molecule: long non-coding RNA, 944 nt
Organism: Rosa rugosa (rugosa rose)
Lineage: Eukaryota; Viridiplantae; Streptophyta; Magnoliopsida; Rosales; Rosaceae
Exons: 2
Source: RefSeq, a predicted model, not a curated record
AUCAAUGUACGUACAUACAAGCUUUUUGGCUAUUCUUCUUUGUUUUCUCAUUCAGUUUUUUUGUAACAAUAUACCAAUUAUUAUUGCGACUAAAAGACCUGCAGCAUCGCGCGGGCCUUUCUACCUAGUUCUAAUGUUCUAUACUCUAAAGCUCCGACUCCUAAUGAACAGUACCAUUCCUUAUGAAUAGUGUGCUUUCAAUUUUGCCCCCUUAACGUCCUGAGUUUUGCGCAAUUGCCCCUCAGUUUUAUGCUGUCUGUAUCUCGCCAUCUUUUGGUUUCCACCACGUCCAUGGAGAUGGACACGAAGAGAGAGAGAGAGAGAGAGGGAGGGAGGGAGAGAGAGUUUGAUUCUUUUUAUUUUUUAUUUUUUGAGAAUAGAGAGAGUUUGAUUCACAGAGACGGAAAGAGAGAAAUAGAGAGAGAGAGGGCGAGGAGUUUUCAUGAUAUGUAUCUGCUAAUUAUAUGUAGAGAGAAAGUGAUGGUGGUAGCCACUCAUUGUUCUUCAAUUUGAGGCCUCCAGCAGCAAUUGCAACAGCUGCAAUCCAAGCCACCAUAUUAUUUACAGUUGGGGAGUAACAUCCUUCCAAUUCUGAAAGUCCUCCAUAUACAUACCGGAUCGAGAAGAUUUUGCCUUUUUUCCAUUUGGAGAAGAGCAUGAUGGGAGAGCCUGGAGAUGUAUAAUGGCUAUUUUUCAGCCGUUCACCUCCUUUCAUAUGAAACAGUCACACUAGCCUUUUGCUUAUUUUAUGUUUAAAUUACUCAUCCUCUACUUUUCAUUUUCUUCUUUUUUAGAUCAGUGCUCAAUGCUCCUUCCGAAAACAGAACAUGGGGUUGAAGGCCAGUUACUAUUUUAAUAGUUUAGUUAGCAGCAAAUCUAUAAUUUAGAGUUGUGAUUUGUUGGAAGGGUGGAGUAGCAUAGAGGCACAGAGUGUUGAAGUUACA